AGAUUCUCGUUCUGGCUCUUCGACCUCCACCCCACCCCACCCAUCUUUCCCUCACCUAUCUCUCUUUUUCCUUUCCUCUUUUUAUUUUUAAUUCUAAUCCUCCCUUAAGCCAGAGAAGGAUCUAAGAAAUUGCCAACGACACUCCCACACUUCGAUAGGAGAUCAGUGACUGCAGAUCUGAAGGUCGAGGUUGUUGUCAAUCCGGGUACCAUGUAAAGCUAAGAAUGGAAGAGGAGAAAGGAAAAAGUAGGAAGUGAGAGAAUUUGAUGGGGUUUCUCCGGUGAAAAUAUUAGCUUCUAUGGAGGUGCGCUGUGGUUAGGUGAGUUCUUGGCAGUGCAGGGUGGGUUAUGAUGUGAGAGGGAGGGUGAUUAUUUUCAAUUUUUGUUUCACUUAAGGGUAAAUUAGGAAUUUUGAUUGACAAAAAAGUAUCCUAGUUGACAUUUUCUUAAUUAAAAAACUAAGUAAUUGGGUGUUUGGCUUUUAUUGGUUAGGAACACCAGCUCAACCGGUGUACUCGGUACUUAGAAAAAUUUCUCAGUGAUUGACACUUACCUAAAUUUGGACAAUGUUGAAAUGCUUGUGACCUAUAUUUUUGGUGAAAGAAUAUUUUGUAAUCAUUUGUUGUGUCAUUUGUACGUCACAACCCAGAACCAAUUACGGCGGAGUUGGUGAACUAGACGAGACGACUUUUUAUGAAACUCUAAUGAGUAUCAGAUGCUAUGGGGUUUUUUUUUAUUUUUUAUACUGUAAAAUGAUUAGUUAAAAACACAAAAAUAAUUAAAAUAAAUUGAAAUAUUAUAAAAUUUAGAGUAUCAUCACCUUUUUAUUAGGGGAGCUGAUAGUUUUGAUUGAGCUACAUUAUUGGACCACUAAAAAAGGGUGAAAUAUCAUACAAUUUUUGUUAGUUGAUAUUAACUCUAUAACACUUUGUUAGUGAUUCAGAUCUGGUGACUCUCCUCAGU
RNAcentral lists this long non-coding RNA (962 nucleotides) under Malus domestica (apple). Its description in RNAcentral is "long non-coding RNA (MDOM_LNC009278)". The record is from RNAcentral. Lineage: Eukaryota; Viridiplantae; Streptophyta; Magnoliopsida; Rosales; Rosaceae.